GAUCCUGUAGCUCAGUUGGUAGAGCAAUACACUUUUAAUGUAUGGGCCCUGGGUUCGAGUCCCAGCGGGAUCA
Molecule: non-coding RNA, 73 nt
Organism: Bacteroidetes bacterium 47-18
Lineage: Bacteria; Pseudomonadati; Bacteroidota
Source: Rfam